This 388-nucleotide ribosomal RNA is filed under the name uncultured bacterium. RNAcentral's name for it is "bacterial SSU rRNA". It matches the Rfam family "Bacterial small subunit ribosomal RNA", at positions 30 to 417 of the family's 1533-position model. The record is from RNAcentral.
AUUGAACGCUGGCGGAAUGCUUUACACAUGCAAGUCGAGCGGCAGCACGGGGGCAACCCUGGUGGCGAGCGGCGAACGGGUGAGUAAUACAUCGGAACAUGCCCAGUCGUGGGGGAUAACACUUCGAAAGAAGUGCUAAUACCGCAUACGUCCUGAGGGAGAAAGCGGGGGGAUCGCAAGACCUCGCGCGAUUGGAGUGGCCGAUGUCAGAUUAGCUAGUUGGUGGGGUAAAGGCCUACCAAGGCAACGAUCUGUAGCUGGUCUGAGAGGAUGAUCAGCCACACUGGGACUGAGACACGGCCCAGACUCCUACGGGAGGCAGCAGUGGGGAAUUUUGGACAAUGGGGGCAACCCUGAUCCAGCCAUUCCGCGUGAGUGAAGAAGGCCU